CCACCAUGUUUGCAUAAAAAGGCAUUUUUAAUGGAGUAAGGUCAUCCCUUCUCAGAAAGUAGAGGCCUCUUUCUCCACCAAAAGUCCUGUUUUUCAUACAUACACAUACCUGCUAACUUUAAUAUCCUGCUCCGAAAAGUCAAGUAGGAAAUUAUUUAAGAGCUACAAUACAUAUAAGGCGACCCACAACCCUAUUCCUGAGAAAAAAGCUUUGUGACCCCUAGGCUGGGAAAUACAGGUUUGUGCUUUAUAGACAAUAGCCAAGCCUUUGACUGUGUGGAUCAUGAGAAACUAUGGGUUGUUCUGAAAGAAUAGGGUGUGCCUUAGCACUUGAUUGCCUUCAUAUGCAACCUAUAUUGUGGACAAGAAGUUACCAUUAGGACAGAAUAUGGAGAGACAGAAUUGCCUAUAGGCAACAGAGUGAAACAAGGGUGCAUUUAUCUGUUCAAUCUGUACACAUAACAUGUCAUAUGGAAAUCCAAACUAGAUUCAGAUGAAGAUAAGAGUAAAAAUUGAUGG
Molecule: non-coding RNA, 519 nt
Organism: Pogona vitticeps (central bearded dragon)
Lineage: Eukaryota; Metazoa; Chordata; Lepidosauria; Squamata; Agamidae
Source: RefSeq, a predicted model, not a curated record